RNAcentral lists this ribosomal RNA (726 nucleotides) under uncultured archaeon. RNAcentral describes it as "bacterial SSU rRNA". It matches the Rfam family "Archaeal small subunit ribosomal RNA", at positions 53 to 780 of the family's 1478-position model. The record is from RNAcentral.
GCUAGUCGCACGGGUUUAGACCCGUGGCGAAAAGCUCAGUAACACGUGGCCAAACUACCCUAUAGAUCGGAAUAUCCUCGGGAAACUGAGGCCAAUGCCGAAUACCGCUCCUGCACUGGGAUGUGCGGAGCUCGAAACGCUCCGGCGCUAUAGGAUGUGGCUGCGGCCGAUUAGGUUGACGGUGGGGUAACGGCCCACCGUGCCCAUAAUCGGUACGGGUUGUGAGAGCAAGAGCCCGGAGACGGUAUCUGAGACAAGAUACCGGGCCCUACGGGGCGCAGCAGGCGCGAAAACUUUACACUGCACGAGAGUGCGAUAAGGGAACUCCGAGUGCGAGGGCAUAGAGCCCUCGCUUUUGUACACCGUAAGGUGGUGUACGAAUAAGGGCUGGGCAAGACCGGUGCCAGCCGCCGCGGUAAUACCGGCAGCCCAAGUGAUGGCCGAUAUUAUUGGGCCUAAAGCGUCCGUAGCUGGCCGGACAAGUCCGUUGGGAAAUCCGCGUGCUCAACGCGCGGGCGUCCAGCGGAAACUGUCCGGCUUGGGGCCGGAAGACCUGAGGGGUACGUCCGGGGUAGGAGUGAAAUCCUGUAAUCUCGGACGGACCGCCUGUGGCGAAAGCGCCUCAGGAAGACGGACCCGACAGUGAGGGACGAAAGCCAGGGUCUCGAACCGGAUUAGAUACCCGGGUAGUCCUGGCUGUAAACGAUGUCCGCUAGGUGUGGCGUA